AGCCCAAAGCCAGGAUAAAAGGGCCUCACGGUCAGGGCACCUCUAUACCCUCCUCUCCUGAGGUGCUGACAAACCCAGUGCUGCCUGUGGACCGCUCCUGACCCCGCCAGCCCAGAUGUCCUGCCAGCAGAACCAGCAGCAGUGCCAGCCCCCUCCCAAGUGUCCCACCCCCAAAUGCCCCCCAAAGUGUCCCCCAAAGUGCCCCCCAGUCUCUUCCUGCUGCAGUGUUAGCUCUGGGGGCUGCUGUGGCUCCAGCUCUGGGGGUGGCAGCUGCUGUAGCUCUGGGGGUGGUGGCUGCUGUAGCUCUGGGGGUGGUGGGUGCUGCCUGAGCCACCACAGGCGACACAGGUCCCACCGUCGUAGACACCAGAGCUCUGGCUGCUGCAGCCAGCCCUCAGGGGGCUCAGGAUGCUGCAGCCAGCCCUCGGGGGGCUCUGGCUGCUGUGGAGGAGGCAGCAGUCAGUCCUCUGGAGGCUGCUGCUGAUGGGGACCCUGUGCCAAGAAAAGUAUGCUUGAGGAUAGCGAGUAACCAAAUCCUUCCUCUUGCUCCUAUUUUCCUGCUGGUUCUGUCCAUAUGGUUCAGGGGUCUGAGUGAAGGCUUGUGCUCUGCCCCACAGGAUCCCUGUUCCCUGGUGUCCAGGAGCCACAACCCCUCCCCCAACCCCAUUUACUCACCUUCUCCCCCAUAUGCAUGGCUGCCCUAGGAAUCCAAAGCACAGACCCUACACCUUUCAGUAGCUUACCUUGUUGUAAACCCAGCCUGAUGUGAAACAAUAAAACUAGAAAUCUUCA
This is a long non-coding RNA of Mustela erminea (ermine), 792 nucleotides long. RefSeq lists it as uncharacterized. The transcript is spliced from 2 exons. The record is from RefSeq and is a predicted model, not a curated record. NCBI's taxonomy places the organism in Eukaryota, Metazoa, Chordata, Mammalia, Carnivora, Mustelidae.